UCCGAGAACUUGGAACGCGAUGCACCUCAAGAAAUACUACCACUAAGCAACACUUCACACAGAACUUGAAAAACGACGUAAAACGUUCAACCUUCAGCACAGCGAGACGUCGCUAACGCUCAAAGGAUUCCUUUUUCGUCAAAAACUUUCCGAAAAGGAACACUCACUUUUAAAACAGUCCGCCCACGACUAUGAAGCACACACUCC
RNAcentral lists this long non-coding RNA (207 nucleotides) under Brassica napus (rape). Its description in RNAcentral is "long non-coding RNA (BNAP_LNC021830)". The record is from RNAcentral. Lineage: Eukaryota; Viridiplantae; Streptophyta; Magnoliopsida; Brassicales; Brassicaceae.